UACGGAGGGUGCAAGCGUUAUCCGGAUUCACUGGGUUUAAAGGGUGCGUAGGUGGGCUGGUAAGUCAGUGGUGAAAUCCCCGAGCUUAACUUGGGAACUGCCAUUGAUACUAUCAGUCUUGAAUACCGUGGAGGUCAGCGGAAUAUGUCAUGUAGCGGUGAAAUGCUUAGAUAUGACAUAGAACACCAAUUGCGAAGGCAGCUGGCUACUCGGAUAUUGACACUGAGGCACGAAAGCGUGGGGAUCAAACAGG
RNAcentral lists this ribosomal RNA (253 nucleotides) under uncultured bacterium. RNAcentral describes it as "partial 16S ribosomal RNA". It matches the Rfam family "Bacterial small subunit ribosomal RNA", at positions 524 to 776 of the family's 1533-position model. The record is from RNAcentral.